Molecule: long non-coding RNA, 555 nt
Organism: Anas platyrhynchos (mallard)
Lineage: Eukaryota; Metazoa; Chordata; Aves; Anseriformes; Anatidae
Source: RefSeq, a predicted model, not a curated record
GUCUGAGGAGAUACCAAGAGUUUCUUUAGAUGAGUAGAUGUGCUUUGUGCAAUGUGCCCUGUUUCUACGAGGAACCCCGGGGUCUGACCCAAAGUCCACUGAUGCCAGUGGGAGGAGAAGAGGAGAAAGCAGGAGGUCCAAAAACCUUGGACCCAGCUUAAUAGUGGGACUUGAGAAGAGGAGUCAGCUUCAGUUGAAGGCUAUCUCAAUAGCUGUCACCUAUGUACGGAACCCCAGGAAUGAGGGCAAGAACAAAAAAUGAAAGCUCUCAACACUUUUUUACCAAGAGUGAGGUAAGCCUUCUCCAGAUCUCCAGAUGUUUCACUUUUAAUGGAUUCUUCUAUGUCUUUCCCACACACCUAGAGGGACAACAAAGAGUAGCCAUCAGAGCUGCUGUCUGUACAAGUCAUCCCACUGCCAUAAAACCAGCAUCAGCUUUAGGACACAAUGGCAAAAGGCCAGUUCAGAUCCUUUUGAGACUUUCCAGGGGAGCAAUUCAAGGGUAAGUGAAGAUCCUUUCUGGUGUAAGUGCUCACAGAUCCGCUGGCACCAAGA